RNAcentral lists this long non-coding RNA (336 nucleotides) under Carassius auratus (goldfish). RNAcentral describes it as "lncRNA (ENSCARG00000004379.1)". Lineage: Eukaryota; Metazoa; Chordata; Actinopteri; Cypriniformes; Cyprinidae. The record is from RNAcentral.
CAGAGAGGAACUGACCCACUAAACCAACUUACAACUCUACAGUCUGCACUCUUCUUGAAAUUAAAGGUUGCAGCCUUGUGGAACUUUGUAUCUAACAUUCUGUUUAUCAUCGGAUCUCUCUCUGCUGUGACUAAUUAUUACCAUUGAUCACUGAGCCUGCUGAUAAGAUGGCCUGAAAGCAUAAUAGAGGUGAGCUGGCAACAAGGCAAGUGACACUGUGUGUGUUUGUGUGUGUGAUCCGUGACUAACACACAGGUGUGUGCAUCUAUUCAGAAGCUGCACUGCACUGGAAAGCAAGGUCUUAUUUGCAAGACAAAAAAGAUAGCCAGCGGUGCU